UACGUAGGGGGCAAGCGUUGUCCGGAAUCAUUGGGCGUAAAGAGCGUGUAGGCGGUCCGGUAAGUCGGCUGUGAAAGUCCAGGGCUCAACCCUGGGAUGCCGGUCGAUACUGCCGGACUAGAGUUCGGAAGAGGCGAGUGGAAUUCCCGGUGUAGUGGUGAAAUGCGUAGAUAUCGGGAGGAACACCAGUGGCGAAGGCGACUACCUGGCCCAUUCUUGACGCUGAGGCGCGAAAGCUAGGGGAGCGAACGGG
Molecule: ribosomal RNA, 253 nt
Filed under: uncultured bacterium
Lineage: Bacteria
Description: partial 16S ribosomal RNA
Rfam family: Bacterial small subunit ribosomal RNA
Source: RNAcentral